UCUGAUGUAUGUAGCUAUCAUGAAUGGGC
Molecule: non-coding RNA, 29 nt
Filed under: Rattus norvegicus (Norway rat)
Lineage: Eukaryota; Metazoa; Chordata; Mammalia; Rodentia; Muridae
Source: RNAcentral